AUUCCUACGGGAGGCAGCAGUGAGGAAUAUUGGUCAAUGGGCUUACGCCUGAACCAGCCAAGUCGCGUGAGGGAAGACUGCCCUAUGGGUUGUAAACCUCUUUUGUCGGGGAGCAAAAGCCGGACGUGUCCGGCUGUGAGAGUACCCGAAGAAAAAGCAUCGGCUAACUCCGUGCCAGCAGCCGCGGUAAUACGGAGGAUGCGAGCGUUAUCCGGAUUUAUUGGGUUUAAAGGGUGCGUAGGCGGUCCGUUAAGUCAGCGGUAAAAUUGCGGGGCUCAACCCCGUCGAGCCGUUGAAACUGGCAG
This 305-nucleotide ribosomal RNA is filed under the name uncultured bacterium. Its description in RNAcentral is "bacterial SSU rRNA". It matches the Rfam family "Bacterial small subunit ribosomal RNA", at positions 335 to 639 of the family's 1533-position model. The record is from RNAcentral.